Molecule: ribosomal RNA, 1344 nt
Filed under: uncultured bacterium
Lineage: Bacteria
Description: 16S ribosomal RNA
Rfam family: Bacterial small subunit ribosomal RNA
Source: RNAcentral
GACGAACGCUUGCGGCGUGCUUAACACAUGCAAGUCGAACGGAAAGGCCCUGCUUUUGUGGGGUGCUCGAGUGGCGAACGGGUGAGUAACACGUGAGUAACCUGCCCUUGACUUUGGGAUAACUUCAGGAAACUGGGGCUAAUACCGGAUAGGAGCUCCUGCUGCAUGGUGGGGGUUGGAAAGUUUCGGCGGUUGGGGAUGGACUCGCGGCUUAUCAGCUUGUUGGUGGGGUAGUGGCUUACCAAGGCUUUGACGGGUAGCCGGCCUGAGAGGGUGACCGGCCACAUUGGGACUGAGAUACGGCCCAGACUCCUACGGGAGGCAGCAGUGGGGAAUAUUGCACAAUGGGCGGAAGCCUGAUGCAGCAACGCCGCGUGCGGGAUGACGGCCUUCGGGUUGUAAACCGCUUUCGCCUGUGACGAAGCGUGAGUGACGGUAAUGGGUAAAGAAGCACCGGCUAACUACGUGCCAGCAGCCGCGGUGAUACGUAGGGUGCGAGCGUUGUCCGGAUUUAUUGGGCGUAAAGGGCUCGUAGGUGGUUGAUCGCGUCGGAAGUGUAAUCUUGGGGCUUAACCCUGAGCGUGCUUUCGAUACGGGUUGACUUGAGGAAGGUAGGGGAGAAUGGAAUUCCUGGUGGAGCGGUGGAAUGCGCAGAUAUCAGGAGGAACACCAGUGGCGAAGGCGGUUCUCUGGGCCUUUCCUGACGCUGAGGAGCGAAAGCGUGGGGAGCGAACAGGCUUAGAUACCCUGGUAGUCCACGCUGUAAACGGUGGGUACUAGGUGUGGGGUCCAUUCCACGGGUUCCGUGCCGUAGCUAACGCUUUAAGUACCCCGCCUGGGGAGUACGGCCCGCAAGGCUAAAACUCAAAGGAAUUGACGGGGCCCCGCACAAGCGGCGGAGCAUGCGGAUUAAUUCGAUGCAACGCGUAGAACCUUACCUGGGUUUGACAUGGAUCGGGAGUGCUCAGAGAUGGGUGUGCCUCUUUUGGGGUCGGUUCACAGGUGGUGCAUGCCUGUCGUCAGCUCGUGUCGUGAGAUGUUGGGUUAAGUCCCGCAACGAGCGCAACCCUUGUUCACUGUUGCCAGCACGUUAUGGUGGGGACUCAGUGGAGACCGCCGGGGUCAACUUGGAGGAAGGUGGGGAUGACGUCAAGUCCUCAUGCCCCUUAUGUCCAGGGCUUCACGCAUGCUACAAUGGCUGGUACAGAGAGUGGCGAGCCUGUGAGGGUGAGCGAAUCUCGGAAAGCCGGUCUCAGUUCGGAUUGGGGUCUGCAACUCGACCUCAUGAAGUCGGAGUCGCUAGUAAUCGCAGAUCAGCAACGCUGCGGUGAAUACGUUCCCGGG